Molecule: ribosomal RNA, 597 nt
Filed under: uncultured bacterium
Lineage: Bacteria
Description: partial 16S ribosomal RNA
Source: RNAcentral
AGAUGCUAGUCAUUGACUACACUCUCGUACUAGUCGGUGUGCCCGUGACUCUGUGCCCGGGCUGAGGAUGCCCUCCGUCGUCAUUCCUUAUAACCAGUUACCCGCUUUCGGACUUGGUCGGUACGGCGCACUUCCUAAUUCCAGGAAACCUAACAUUUGAAGAAAAUAGACCCUGCUUUUUUCCGCUAAGAAGCAGUGAACUGCCAUGGUCUACUUAUUCGUGGCCGAUUGAGGCACGGUCGUCGGCGCCAUUAUGCCUCCCACGUUCGCAAUAGGCCUAAGUGACCCAAAUUUCCCACGCAUCCGCCCGUCCAUUCAGUCACCACUUUAGGGGCUCGAAUUGAGCCCUUGACGGUAACUAUGAUAGACAGAACUUAUAACACCUCCAUUCGCCUUAUACAGUACAUCGCCACUUUACGAAUCUAUACUGUAUCUUGUGGAUAACGCUUCCGUCGAAUGAUGCGUAUAUAACUGCGACUACGUGCUUUCGCACCCCUAGUUUGUCCUAAUCUAUGGGACCAUCAGGUGCGGGAUUUGCUACUAAUGAGCUGUAAACGCUAUAUGACAUUCACAGACUCGCUUUCGUAAUUCAUUAGG